AUACGGAGGGUGCAAGCGUUAUUCGGAAUCACUGGGCGUAAAGGACGCGUAGGCGGGUUGGCAAGUCAGAUGUGAAAUCCUACAGCUUAACUGUAGAACUGCAUUUGAAACUGCUAACCUAGAGUAUGGGAGGGGGAGAUGGAAUUAGUGGUGUAGAGGUAAAAUCCGUAGAUAUCACUAGGAAUACCGAAAGCGAAGGCGAUCUCCUGGAACAUAACUGACGCUAAGGCGUGAAAGCGUGGGGAGCAAACAGGAUUAGAUACCCUAGUAGUCC
This 274-nucleotide ribosomal RNA is filed under the name uncultured bacterium. RNAcentral's name for it is "partial 16S ribosomal RNA". It matches the Rfam family "Bacterial small subunit ribosomal RNA", at positions 523 to 796 of the family's 1533-position model. The record is from RNAcentral.